GAUGAACGCUAGCGGCAGGCUUAACACAUGCAAGUCGAGGGGUAUUGGUUUUCGGACCAAGAGACCGGCGCACGGGUGCGUAACGCGUAUGCAAUCUACCUUUUGCAGAGGGAUAGCCCAGAGAAAUUUGGAUUAAUACCUCAUAGUAUAGUACUUUGGCAUCAAGGAACUAUUAAAGUCACAACGGCAAAAGAUGAGCAUGCGUCCCAUUAGCUAGUUGGUAAGGUAACGGCUUACCAAGGCUACGAUGGGUAGGGGUCCUGAGAGGGAGAUCCCCCACACUGGUACUGAGACACGGACCAGACUCCUACGGGAGGCAGCAGUGAGGAAUAUUGGACAAUGGGCGCAAGCCUGAUCCAGCCAUGCCGCGUGCAGGAUGACGGUCCUANGGAUUGUAAACUGCUUUUAAUAC
RNAcentral lists this ribosomal RNA (412 nucleotides) under uncultured bacterium. RNAcentral describes it as "bacterial SSU rRNA". It matches the Rfam family "Bacterial small subunit ribosomal RNA", at positions 28 to 442 of the family's 1533-position model. The record is from RNAcentral.